RNAcentral lists this ribosomal RNA (474 nucleotides) under uncultured bacterium. RNAcentral's name for it is "partial 16S ribosomal RNA". It matches the Rfam family "Bacterial small subunit ribosomal RNA", at positions 28 to 507 of the family's 1533-position model. The record is from RNAcentral.
GAUGAACGCUAGCGGCAGGCCUAACACAUGCAAGUCGAGGGAGGAGCCUUCGGGCUUCGACCGGCGUACGGGUGCGUAACGCGUAUACAAUCUGCCUUUCACAUAGGGAUAGCCCGAAGAAAUUUGGAUUAAUACCUAAUGGUAUAUAGAUGUGGCAUCACCUUUAUAUUAAAGCUGAGGCGGUGAAAGAUGAGUAUGCGUUCUAUUAGCUAGUUGGAGAGGUAACGGCUCCCCAAGGCGACGAUAGAUAGGGGUUCUGAGAGGGAUAUCCCCCACACUGGUACUGAGAUACGGACCAGACUUCUACGGGAGGCAGCAGUGAGGAAUAUUGGACAAUGGUCGGAAGACUGAUCCAGCCAUGCCGCGUGCAGGAAGACGGCCUUAUGGGUUGUAAACUGCUUUUGCAGGGGAAGAAUAAGGACUACGCGUAGUUUGAUGACGGUACUCUGCGAAUAAGCAUCGGCUAACUCCGUG